AGCCUAAUUCAGUUAUUUUUCAUGUUUUGAUGUGCUUUCGUGUACUUUUCAGUAUUUCCAAGCUCACGAUAUUGUAAGAGCGACCAAACUUGUUUAUAUUCAUACUUUUUGUGACUAGAACGUAUUAUCAUGGGCUGGAAAAUAUUGAAACGUGCACGGAGGCACAUCAAAACAUGGCAGUUGCGCCAAAAAUAGCUUAAGGCUUUUCAAUGUGACACGUCACAUGAGCGGUGAAACAUUUCAGUUUCCAACGGUAAACGCCCCGUUUCAAACGUAAACAAACGCGCGAAAAUGUUUGCGGUUUGUGCUUGGACGAAAAUUGCUG
Paramuricea clavata is the source of this 325-nucleotide non-coding RNA. The record is from the annotation of a GenBank genome assembly. NCBI's taxonomy places the organism in Eukaryota, Metazoa, Cnidaria, Anthozoa, Malacalcyonacea, Plexauridae.